GACGAACCGUGCGAACGUUAUUCGGAAUCACUGGGCUUAAAGGGCGCGUAGGCGGGUCCGUCAGUCAGGGGUGAAAUCCCACGGCCCAACCGUGGAAGUGCCUUUGAUACUGCGGGCCUCGAGGGGGAUAGGGGCGUGCGGAACUCAGGGUGGAGCGGUGAAAUUCGUAGAUAUUCGGAAGAACACCAGUGGCGAAGGCGGCUCACUGGACUGGUAUUGACGCUGAGGUGCGAAAGCGUGGGGAGCAAACAGG
RNAcentral lists this ribosomal RNA (253 nucleotides) under uncultured bacterium. Its description in RNAcentral is "partial 16S ribosomal RNA". It matches the Rfam family "Bacterial small subunit ribosomal RNA", at positions 524 to 776 of the family's 1533-position model. The record is from RNAcentral.